GGGUUGUGAGGUUAAGCGACUAAGCGUACACGGUGGAUGCCCUGGCAGUCAGAGGCGAUGAAGGACGUGCUAAUCUGCGAUAAGCGUCGGUAAGGUGAUAUGAACCGUUAUAACCGGCGAUUUCCGAAUGGGGAAACCCAGUGUGAUUCGUCACACUAUCAUUAACUGAAUCCAUAGGUUAAUGAGGCGAACCGGGGGAACUGAAACAUCUAAGUACCCCGAGGAAAAGAAAUCAACCGAGAUUCCCCCAGUAGCGGCGAGCGAACGGGGAGCAGCCCAGAGCCUGAAUCAGUGUGUGUGUUAGUGGAAGCGUCUGGAAAGGCGCGCGAUACAGGGUGACAGCCCCGUACACAAAAAUGCACAUGCUGUGAGCUCGAUGAGUAGGGCGGGACACGUGGUAUCCUGUCUGAAUAUGGGGGGACCAUCCUCCAAGGCUAAAUACUCCUGACUGACCGAUAGUGAACCAGUACCGUGAGGGAAAGGCGAAAAGAACCCCGGCGAGGGGAGUGAAAAAGAACCUGAAACCGUGUACGUACAAGCAGUGGGAGCACGCUUAGGCGUGUGACUGCGUACCUUUUGUAUAAUGGGUCAGCGACUUAUAUUCUGUAGCAAGGUUAACCGAAUAGGGGAGCCGAAGGGAAACCGAGUCUUAACUGGGCGUUAAGUUGCAGGGUAUAGACCCGAAACCCGGUGAUCUAGCCAUGGGCAGGUUGAAGGUUGGGUAACACUAACUGGAGGACCGAACCGACUAAUGUUGAAAAAUUAGCGGAUGACUUGUGGCUGGGGGUGAAAGGCCAAUCAAACCGGGAGAUAGCUGGUUCUCCCCGAAAGCUAUUUAGGUAGCGCCUCGUGAAUUCAUCUCCGGGGGUAGAGCACUGUUUCGGCAAGGGGGUCAUCCCGACUUACCAACCCGAUGCAAACUGCGAAUACCGGAGAAUGUUAUCACGGGAGACACACGGCGGGUGCUAACGUCCGUCGUGAAGAGGGAAACAACCCAGACCGCCAGCUAAGGUCCCAAAGUCAUGGUUAAGUGGGAAACGAUGUGGGAAGGCCCAGACAGCCAGGAUGUUGGCUUAGAAGCAGCCAUCAUUUAAAGAAAGCGUAAUAGCUCACUGGUCGAGUCGGCCUGCGCGGAAGAUGUAACGGGGCUAAACCAUGCACCGAAGCUGCGGCAGCGACGCUUAUGCGUUGUUGGGUAGGGGAGCGUUCUGUAAGCCUGCGAAGGUGUGCUGUGAGGCAUGCUGGAGGUAUCAGAAGUGCGAAUGCUGACAUAAGUAACGAUAAAGCGGGUGAAAAGCCCGCUCGCCGGAAGACCAAGGGUUCCUGUCCAACGUUAAUCGGGGCAGGGUGAGUCGACCCCUAAGGCGAGGCCGAAAGGCGUAGUCGAUGGGAAACAGGUUAAUAUUCCUGUACUUGGUGUUACUGCGAAGGGGGGACGGAGAAGGCUAUGUUGGCCGGGCGACGGUUGUCCCGGUUUAAGCGUGUAGGCUGGUUUUCCAGGCAAAUCCGGAAAAUCAAGGCUGAGGCGUGAUGACGAGGCACUACGGUGCUGAAGCAACAAAUGCCCUGCUUCCAGGAAAAGCCUCUAAGCAUCAGGUAACAUCAAAUCGUACCCCAAACCGACACAGGUGGUCAGGUAGAGAAUACCAAGGCGCUUGAGAGAACUCGGGUGAAGGAACUAGGCAAAAUGGUGCCGUAACUUCGGGAGAAGGCACGCUGAUAUGUAGGUGAAGUCCCUCGCGGAUGGAGCUGAAAUCAGUCGAAGAUACCAGCUGGCUGCAACUGUUUAUUAAAAACACAGCACUGUGCAAACACGAAAGUGGACGUAUACGGUGUGACGCCUGCCCGGUGCCGGAAGGUUAAUUGAUGGGGUCAGCGCAAGCGAAGCUCUUGAUCGAAGCCCCGGUAAACGGCGGCCGUAACUAUAACGGUCCUAAGGUAGCGAAAUUCCUUGUCGGGUAAGUUCCGACCUGCACGAAUGGCGUAAUGAUGGCCAGGCUGUCUCCACCCGAGACUCAGUGAAAUUGAACUCGCUGUGAAGAUGCAGUGUACCCGCGGCAAGACGGAAAGACCCCGUGAACCUUUACUAUAGCUUGACACUGAACAUUGAGCCUUGAUGUGUAGGAUAGGUGGGAGGCUUUGAAGUGUGGACGCCAGUCUGCAUGGAGCCGACCUUGAAAUACCACCCUUUAAUGUUUGAUGUUCUAACGUGGACCCGUAAUCCGGGUUGCGGACAGUGUCUGGUGGGUAGUUUGACUGGGGCGGUCUCCUCCUAAAGAGUAACGGAGGAGCACGAAGGUUGGCUAAUCCUGGUCGGACAUCAGGAGGUUAGUGCAAUGGCAUAAGCCAGCUUGACUGCGAGCGUGACGGCGCGAGCAGGUGCGAAAGCAGGUCAUAGUGAUCCGGUGGUUCUGAAUGGAAGGGCCAUCGCUCAACGGAUAAAAGGUACUCCGGGGAUAACAGGCUGAUACCGCCCAAGAGUUCAUAUCGACGGCGGUGUUUGGCACCUCGAUGUCGGCUCAUCACAUCCUGGGGCUGAAGUAGGUCCCAAGGGUAUGGCUGUUCGCCAUUUAAAGUGGUACGCGAGCUGGGUUUAGAACGUCGUGAGACAGUUCGGUCCCUAUCUGCCGUGGGCGCUGGAGAACUGAGGGGGGCUGCUCCUAGUACGAGAGGACCGGAGUGGACGCAUCACUGGUGUUCGGGUUGUCAUGCCAAUGGCACUGCCCGGUAGCUAAAUGCGGAAGAGAUAAGUGCUGAAAGCAUCUAAGCACGAAACUUGCCCCGAGAUGAGUUCUCCCUGACUCCUUGAGAGUCCUGAAGGAACGUUGAAGACGACGACGUUGAUAGGCCGGAUGUGUAAGCGCAGCGAUGCGUUGAGCUAACCGGUACUAAUGAACCGUGAGGCUUAACCUUACAACGCCGAAGGUGUUU
RNAcentral lists this ribosomal RNA (2931 nucleotides) under Escherichia coli. RNAcentral describes it as "23S ribosomal RNA". It matches the Rfam family "Bacterial large subunit ribosomal RNA". Lineage: Bacteria; Pseudomonadati; Pseudomonadota; Gammaproteobacteria; Enterobacterales; Enterobacteriaceae. The record is from RNAcentral.